This is a long non-coding RNA of Lolium perenne, 1495 nucleotides long. RefSeq lists it as uncharacterized. The record is from RefSeq and is a predicted model, not a curated record. Lineage: Eukaryota; Viridiplantae; Streptophyta; Magnoliopsida; Poales; Poaceae.
CGGAGGGAGGGCGGAGAGGGAUGCUGGGGCUUCGUCGCCGGGGCCGGUCGUCGCCUUCGCCGCCGUGUUCGUAUGGUACGGGAGAGACAAAGACGCGCUUCGAUGGGUCGCCCCCUUCCUCUUGUUCCUAGCCUUUUUUCUUUGCGAUUCUCUUUCCUUGCCACACCGGUUACGAUUCUGUCUUACCUAGAAAUAUUCCCCAUAUAUUGCCUGCGACCGGCGGUUUGUCCCACGGGCCAUGCUAAUCCUGGUUUCCUGUCAGGUCUUGCUCCUCUUUCUCAUCUUUCUUUGAUUUUACCGCACUUGCAUCUCUAUGAUGAUUGACGUAUGUUACUUCUGGUUCGUUUGACCAUUGGUGCUUGGACAAUUUACUAGGAAAUGCAUUUUAUUUGUAGGAUUCGAUUUUUUUUAUUUUGUAGUGGCCAUGCUGUUGCAUUUAUUAUCUGUAAACGGCUGUUCCAACUUUGGUGCUUCAGUUGAUUAGGAGGUCAUCCCAUAUAGUUUAGUGGUGUUGGAGGAGCAUUUUUCUAUAUGAAACUACAUCUGUUGAUUCACAAUUACUCAGUUGAUUCUGAAUUCUACACCAGACUGGAAACUAUAAUCAUUUUUGUGCCUUUUUAAAACCAUGCUUAGACCUUGACCUGGAAGUACAAAGAUUGAACACCACGGUGAACCAUUGAGAAACAGGAACCGCCUCCGCCUACUUCUCUUCCUCUCUGGUUUGCCAUGUUGCUUCGCCCAGCUCUGACAGACUCCCUCUGUUGUGCUCUGGAAGACUGGAAGCAUGAAACUGGGGGCGGUCUGUACUUUGGUGCCAGAUGCCACCAACGCUAAUUUGAUCUGGUUGAUGUUUUGGAUUUGGUAUAUUUCUUGUUCUUGCUCGCAGGUUGUAUAGACCGGGAGCCCCUCGCCACCCCUCAUUGCUCCUGUCGGCACAUACAUGGGAGGAGACGAAGGAAGAACUGGUGAGAUGAUCUCAUAUGGCAGGCCUAAGGUCAUGGGCUUUCUAUCUCUGCUUUGGGAGUUUUUGAUUUUUAGUGAGAUUCUUGGGUACACGCAACUGAUGGCACCGGGCUAAGAACAGUAUGGUGAUUUCAUAUGCCCACAUGGUGUUCACUGAAAUGCCUGCAAUAUUGAGUGAGUUCCUCCGCCAAUGAUUACUUAAGCAUGUCGAUUGUGAUCUCCUUCCAUGUGGCAGUAGCUCAGGGGUGGCUGCAUAUGUGCAUCUUUACUUUCUUUUUGGGGCACGCAUGAUGAAUUUGAUAUGUAGUUGUUCUUUUUUAGGCCAAUGAAGAAUGCACUAUGUCAUCUUUCAGGUUUCCUGGGUAGGUAAAGAUCAUCGAGUGUAAAUGGCGUAGUACAAAUUAUGUGGGCCUAUGUUUUUGUCUGAUGGUCGUCAGCCUACCAUGUGUACAUUUAAAUUACUCACAUAACUUAUAUGUAGAUACUGACCCUUUCAUCAGUGAUUUGUGCGGUUAUUUGAUUUACCUAUUUA